ACAAUUAGUGAGAACAAAUCAAAUCUAAGAUCUCGGUUCCUAAAAACUUGAAAGAAAAAAAAACAAUCACCUAAAAGAAGAAAGAAGUUUAAAACAAAAUGCCUCAUAACAAAACGUCAACCUUAGUUUGGGAAAUCAAACCCUUAAGGAGCUAAAGGAUUUGUUCUCCAUUGGCUAAAGACCCAAGUGGAUAAGACCCAAUUCAUCUCAAAUCUACUCCACUUAGUCCAAGGUAUAAAAUC
RNAcentral lists this long non-coding RNA (242 nucleotides) under Lathyrus oleraceus (garden pea). Its description in RNAcentral is "Pisum sativum (pea) long non-coding RNA (PSAT_LNC009701)". Lineage: Eukaryota; Viridiplantae; Streptophyta; Magnoliopsida; Fabales; Fabaceae. The record is from RNAcentral.